UCUGAGCCUGUCAGGAUGUGCGUGGAGGAGGAGCUGGUUGAGUAAGAUCCUGAUGGAGGGAAAGCAAAACAAUUCCUGCUCAGGAACAUCAGAGAAGCUGUUGGAAUGGGCUUCCUUCGAACCCCAGCCUCGUCUCAUCCUGCCACUGUGUUGGGGGCCUUCAAGGCAGGGCACCGAGGAGAAUAGCAGAUGUUUUGAGUCAGAGAGACCCUGAACCUUCAGAAAUCCGCAGGUGCAUCCUCAUGGCCAGAAAGAAUGCCAGGCCUGGGGUGACCGUAAGACCAAUUUUUCUUUCCAGGAAAGAUAGGAGCACUUGGGAAGGAGCUGGCUCACUCACAGGCUGAACUUGUUACAUGCACACAGCUUCUCUGUUUCAUGACGUUUUGCAUCCUCAGCUGGAAGAUACAUCCUGGAUUGAGAAAAUGCUCAUCCUGAAUGCUAUGCCCUGGGUCACUGUGCUUCCUAUGUGUCUCUAUUAUUAUUGUCCCUCCUAAACCCUGUGCCAACUCCGCCUUCUUUAGCCACAGGUCUCAAGAUGCUCUCCUGAAACAAACCCUGGACCAGGGAGUAAGCACAGCUGAAUCAGCUGAAUCCCUAAUACUGAGAAAGAUUCAUGACUUUCAAGCAGCCAAUCAUAUGUGUCUCUCUGUCCACUUGACAAACUCCCAGUUUGGGGAGCUGGAACAAUGUAUCUCUGUGUCAACAGCAAAGACGUGGAACUAACAUGUUCCCUUUUCUCCAUGUACAGAAAGCCACACCCUCAAGAACCAGGCCAUUUCCCAGAUUUUCAUCCCUCCCUCACCAGGAAGAGUUCAUUUGUGGGUCAUGGUUGCCUUAGUAGAGGGAGUGUCAGGUGUCAAUCCUCAAAGAACCUUUUAGAGCUUUGCUGGGCAUAGAAGAUAAGAAUCAACUGAGUGCUUUCUUGUGGUUCCUCAAGGACAGCUGAAGCCCUCACUGAUCACCCCAUGACCCACACCAGCACCUGAAGGAUUAAUGCAACUUUGAUCUUCCCCAAGGAAGCAAGAUGGGACCUGCUCCGUGGGGCCUCCUCUGGGCGAAGCCUCCUCUGGUGCCACCCCGCCAUGGCCGCCAGGCUCCUCUGCUGCAUGGCCCUUGGUCUCCUGGGAGUAGCAUCCGCAGAUGUUGGAGUCACCCAAACACCCAGGCACGAGGUGACAAAAGUGGGACAAGAAGUAACUCUGGAUUGUCAGCCGAUUUCAGGUCAUGAAUCCCUUUAUUGGUACAGACAGACCCCAGGGCAGGGACCGGAGUUUCUCAUUUACUUCAACAACAGGUCUCCUAUGGACAAGUCAGGGAUGCCCAAGGGCCGGUUCUCAGCUGAUAUGCCUAAUGCAUCAUUCUCCUUUCUGAAGAUCCAGACCACAGAACCCAGGGACUCGGCCACCUACCUCUGUGCCAGCAGCAUAGGCACAGUGCCGCAGAGUCACCCCCUGUCUGUGCAGAAAACCUCUGCUUCCCCUUCUGGCCCCAGCCCCAGCCAUCCUCAACAGUCUUUCCAGGCUCCUCCCCUAUCAGCGCAAGGACUGGGUUUGGGGUUCUGCUGUCCUCAGGGAAGGCAAGAAGGGAAUGAUGAGCGAUCACAUUAGGAAAUUUGGGGGAGGAAGGCAUUAGGGGGCUGUUCCUGGCAUUUCUUACGUAGAGUGACAGUCCCUGGCUAAGGGCGGAUGGCAUCCACUGGGCUUUCAAGUGAUUGAAUAAGCGGAAAAACUGCAGCCAUUCCUCAGUGAUAAUUACCAUCCUGUGUUGUCUUCCGUUAGUGAUGAGUCAUCCCUUCACGGCUUCACCACCGUCAGAAUGAUCAGAAAGAUCAGAAUGAUCAGAAUGGUUAAAUGGAC
This is a non-coding RNA of Phacochoerus africanus (Common warthog), 1856 nucleotides long. The record is from the annotation of a RefSeq genome assembly. NCBI's taxonomy places the organism in Eukaryota, Metazoa, Chordata, Mammalia, Artiodactyla, Suidae.